UCCACAAUAAUAUUCCCUUGGCAUCCACCACUACCUACAUUUAUAUAAAAUUUACAUUACGAAAGCUAGGAUAAUUCAAAAACAUUUUUAUAAAAUUUACAUUUGAUAUUUAAACUUAUUCAAUAUGACUAAAGAAUAAAAAAAGAUUGUUUUUAUUUCAAGUGAAAAUCGUAUAAACUUAAACUUGACUAUUUUUGUUUUAAAUUAAAUUUUAUUAACCAACAAUGAGUUGCAAAACGACAAAACAAAUACAAAAUAAUAACCAAACAUUGAAUUCUAUAACAAAUAAAUACAGUUGACUUUAAGUUUAUAAUACCUAUUCACAAGCCAAAAAAAGUGAAUGUGCAAAGAUUAUAUCGCCCAAUCACCUAAGUCAUUCUUUGAGUGAAGUGCAUGUAUCUAUCUCAAUAUCCCAACGGUGACUAAUAUGUGGCCAAAUAGCAUUAUCCACUUCACACCAGAUGAAAAGAUGAUCAGUAGACCUUAAUAGUGUUCGACAAACCGAACACAUAAUUGUUUUCAUAUCAAUACAACAAUAUCCCUAUUGGACAAAUUUAUUCAGGUAGAAACCCGACAAGAGAAACUUUCCAAGACAGAACGUUAACAUUCUUCGUAACAUAUAUAUUCUUCCUAUUGUAACCCAAAACAAGAAUGGAUUUAUAUACAAUUUUUUUUGGAACUUGCCAUGAACUCCCCCACAUGAUCAAGGAACUGAGUCAAUUAUCCGACUCCAAAGAGAUUUUGAGAGACUGUAAAAGAACCAUCAUAGCCAAAAAUUAGACUUCUCCCGCUAUUAGGUAUUCAAGCAACAAACAUACAUAUAAAAGUACAUAUAUAAAUGUAAAAAAAGAAGAGAGAGUUACAUGUUUCACACGAUUAUUGUAAUUGUGCUACAUCUACGUCCAAAUAGAGAUUUAUUAUUGAUAUCGGGAUAAAGUUUGCAAUUGCAUUAUAUAGAGUUAAGGAGGUAUAAAAGAAAC
This 980-nucleotide long non-coding RNA is filed under the name Lactuca sativa (garden lettuce). RNAcentral describes it as "long non-coding RNA (LSAT_LNC001983)". Lineage: Eukaryota; Viridiplantae; Streptophyta; Magnoliopsida; Asterales; Asteraceae. The record is from RNAcentral.